UCAGCAGGCGCAAUAUAUAAAGACUUCGGAUGCAGAACAACCAAAUAUCUCCCGUUCUUUGAGAAAUGAUGAAAGCCCAGGUUAGCAACCAGACAUCCCUACGAGGGUGGGAGAUUGUCGCAACAAGCAACCUCUAUAAUUGCCUACGACUGCAGUGACGCCAGUAUGAGUAUCUAACAACAAAAUGCUUAAUUGAAUAAAAGCAAUUGAGGAUAAACCAAUGUAGAAGAUGAUGUGUCUUCGCAAGGUGGUAUAUUGCAAUGAUUUAUAGGUCUCGCAAAAGAAUGAAAGAUUCUCCCAAAGUCAGAAGAGAUAAUGUUAUGCUGCUAUGCCUUGUGCUUUCGCUCGCCACUGUCCUACAAAUUCAUUGCAAUCAAUUCCAUUUAGGAAACAUUGAAUUUCUUAUCAACUCCAAUAUGGCACACAGAAACAAGUCAACCAUCUCUUCCUUAGCAUUAACAACCUUUCGGCUGAAACUUGGACAAAAUCGAACCAGAAAGAUAUUGGAAAAAAUAACUGGGAAACAGAAAUGAUAACUGAUUGGAGGAAAGCUUUUCAUGAGCACUCAUGACCCAAUCUAAAUUAUAAAACCAAAUACUGCUGUUGCACGAGAAACAAUUUGAACAAUGUGGGCUGCUUUGAAAUCGCACUUCUCCGUUUUCAGAAAAAGUAAGUCAUAUUUUGCUUUAUUGCUGGGCAGUAAAAGGUAACAGAAUAACCCUUGAAAGGAACAAGGAGCUACAGGCUGCAUGGCUUUCAUUAAACAUAACAUAUAUCAAGUAAGUACAGCUGUACAGGUAACAGUUCAUGUAAAAAUAUAAAUAAUCUAAAAACCUAUAACCAAAUCAGAAUUGAAUUGAACAGGGGGAGGGGAGGGAAUGCGUUGCAGCACUCUUGCAGAGGGCACACCAGCGCGAUGGAGGUAGAGCGCGUAUAGCAUUUAAGGGAUCCAGGGCCGAGAACGUCGCUUGAACAGGUUGCAGGCUGUCGUCCUCGCCCACCGCCACCUGCACUCCUCCGCCUCCUCGCCUCCACCGUUGCCAAGCUCGUCGCCUCUCCAUGCACAUCUUCGUCGUCUUCCCAUCGUCCGCUAGGCGCUAGGGUUCUGCAGGAGGGGGAAGAAGCGAGCGGGCUCUGGUUAUGCAUCUCGCUGCAUGCGGCAGGAAAGAGAGAGGGGGGACGUCCAAGGGCGGAGGACCCGGUAGGGCAAGGCAGGGCGGCCUUGAUUUCUGCCUCAGUUACGAAUUGGGGAAGAUUAAGGAGAUGAAACGGGAAGCUAAAGGGCGGGAUCCGUUCGCGGGGUGAUGGGAGGAGAAACUGUUAGGAGCGAGAGUGUGAAACCCCGAGACUAAAUUUAUGCAAUUUAGUCCCAAAUGCUAACUCGCGCAUAAAUCAAGUCCCAGUGCCUCUCUACGAUGAAAACUUCACAACAUACACGCAAUGUGUUCACCGCAGGUUGGAACAACAAUGAUAUCAUUACAUCACUUCAAGACACAAAAAUUAAGUCAAGCUCAUACAUGGAGCAAAAUACCAGGUUAUUACAACUCACGAACACAUGUCCACAAUCAUCAUUACACCAGUGGAAGCAAAUUAUGCCCGAGUACGGACAAAUUACAAAUAUUGCCUAAGAGGCUGAAACUGAAAAGGAGAGCCGCCACAAGUUCUCAGAACCCUGCUCUGGAAUCUUCUGGCUAAACGUCGAAGCUGUAGUCGUCGAACUUCACGAAGUAACCACUCACCUGUUCCUCCGGAAACUCUGGGGAAAACAACGUUGCAAAGCAACUGAGUACAAAGUACUCGCAAGACUUACGAGAGAUCUAAACUAGAUAUGCAACAAGUCUCAAAGGAUGGGUAAAAGGUGGGUUAUGCAGCAGCGAUAUAUAUCUGGAGAGACACACUAAUGACAUCGUCUAGAUAGAAGAUAAGGAGCGUCUACCAAGUGAGGUGAUUAACCUAUUUACUAAACUCCAAACAACACAAUCCUUAUAUCACCCCCUCAACACCCUGUGAGGAAGCAAUCCAAAGGACACUCACACUUAAGCAGUUUAAGCAUAUCCAGAGAAUAAUCCCUAAUUACUAGUCAAGUGGUUGAGAUUAAGUUGAUUAAGUUCUCUAUGAUCAAAUAAUGACCAACCAAGUCGUCCAUGACCGCGGACACGGCUUUCCGAAAGAUUUAUCCCUGCAGGGUGUGCCAAUUUACCCGUACAUGUUCGUUCAACCCUUGACGCCACUAGCAUGGAACACAUGCAAAACAUGUGCCGGCAGGAUUGAGCGACACGACGUUUCCAAGCCCCACAACUAAUAGACAUGGCAUGGCAUGGCAUGGAUGCAAUGUAAUUGUCAUGUAGCAUUUAAAUAAAUUACAAACAGGUCCAAACAAGGGCUUAAAUGUAAAAGUUGCUCUCGGGCUGUUAUAGAGAGCGAGAGAAUCGAAGGGGAGAUAGAUACCUGCGGUGGCGGUGGCAGCGCUCGCGCGAGGAGGAAGACGAUCGACGGAGCGAUGGGGCUGGGGCGCUCGGCAGCGGGAUGGGGAGGGAUGAGUGGCGGUGCUCGCGCAAGGAGGAAGAGGAGCGAGGGGGCUGGGACGGGGGCGCUCGGCAGCGGGAUGGGGAGGGAUGAGUGGCGGCGCUCGUGCAAGGAGGAAGAGGAGCGAGGGAGCGAGGGGGCUGGGACGGGGGCGCUCGGCAGCGGGAUGGGGAGGGAGGGGUGGCAGCGCUCGCCCCAACCCCGUCGCUCCAUUGCCACUAGUCGCGAGC
Molecule: long non-coding RNA, 2756 nt
Filed under: Brachypodium distachyon (stiff brome)
Lineage: Eukaryota; Viridiplantae; Streptophyta; Magnoliopsida; Poales; Poaceae
Description: long non-coding RNA (BDIS_LNC004273)
Source: RNAcentral